RNAcentral lists this transfer RNA (75 nucleotides) under Mycolicibacterium phage Kashi_SSH1. Its description in RNAcentral is "tRNA-Ser". It matches the Rfam family "tRNA". From Rfam's summary of the family: Transfer RNA (tRNA) molecules are approximately 80 nucleotides in length. Their secondary structure includes four short double-helical elements and three loops (D, anti-codon, and T loops). The record is from RNAcentral. RNAcentral also lists the same sequence under 1 other name.
GUCUCUGUAGGCAAACUGGCAAAGCCGCCAUCUUGAGGGGGUGGUGCGUACGGGUUCGACUCCCGUCAGAGACAC